Molecule: ribosomal RNA, 100 nt
Filed under: Corynebacterium diphtheriae
Lineage: Bacteria; Bacillati; Actinomycetota; Actinomycetes; Mycobacteriales; Corynebacteriaceae
Description: partial 16S ribosomal RNA
Rfam family: Bacterial small subunit ribosomal RNA
Source: RNAcentral
UGUGGGGGGAGCUGUCGAAGGUGGGAUCGGCGAUUGGGACGAAGUCGUAACAAGGUAGCCGUACCGGAAGGUGCGGCUGGAUCACCUCCUUUCUAAGGAG